This 764-nucleotide ribosomal RNA is filed under the name uncultured bacterium. Its description in RNAcentral is "bacterial SSU rRNA". It matches the Rfam family "Bacterial small subunit ribosomal RNA", at positions 28 to 805 of the family's 1533-position model. The record is from RNAcentral.
GACGAACGCUGGCGGCGCGCCUAACACAUGCAAGUCGAACGAGCGAGAGAGAGCUUGCUUUCUCGAGCGAGUGGCGAACGGGUGAGUAACGCGUGAGGAACCUGCCUCAAAGAGGGGGACAACAGUUGGAAACGACUGCUAAUACCGCAUAAGCCCACGGUGCCGCAUGGCACAGAGGGAAAAGGAGCAAUCCGCUUUGAGAUGGCCUCGCGUCCGAUUAGCUAGUUGGUGAGGUAACGGCCCACCAAGGCGACGAUCGGUAGCCGGACUGAGAGGUUGAACGGCCACAUUGGGACUGAGACACGGCCCAGACUCCUACGGGAGGCAGCAGUGGGGAAUAUUGCACAAUGGGGGAAACCCUGAUGCAGCGACGCCGCGUGGAGGAAGAAGGUCUUCGGAUUGUAAACUCCUGUUGUUGGGGAAGAUAAUGACGGUACCCAACAAGGAAGUGACGGCUAACUACGUGCCAGCAGCCGCGGUAAAACGUAGGUCACAAGCGUUGUCCGGAAUUACUGGGUGUAAAGGGAGCGCAGGCGGGAAGACAAGUUGGAAGUGAAAUCUAUGGGCUCAACCCAUAAACUGCUUUCAAAACUGUUUUUCUUGAGUAGUGCAGAGGUAGGCGGAAUUCCCGGUGUAGCGGUGGAAUGCGUAGAUAUCGGGAGGAACACCAGUGGCGAAGGCGGCCUACUGGGCACCAACUGACGCUGAGGCUCGAAAGUGUGGGUAGCAAACAGGAUUAGAUACCCUGGUAGUCCACACCGUAA